RNAcentral lists this ribosomal RNA (484 nucleotides) under uncultured bacterium. RNAcentral describes it as "partial 16S ribosomal RNA". It matches the Rfam family "Bacterial small subunit ribosomal RNA", at positions 29 to 507 of the family's 1533-position model. The record is from RNAcentral.
AUUGAACGCUGGCGGCAUGCUUUACACAUGCAAGUCGAACGGCAGCGCGGGCUUCGGCCUGGCGGCGAGUGGCGAGCGGGUGAGUAAUACAUCGGAACGUGCCCAGUAGUGGGGGAUAGCUCGGCGAAAGCCGGAUUAAUACCGCAUACGACCUGAGGGUGAAAGCGGGGGAUCUUCGGACCUCGCGCUAUUGGAGCGGCCGAUGGCAGAUUAGCUAGUUGGUGGGGUAAAGGCCUACCAAGGCGACGAUCUGUAGCUGGUCUGAGAGGACGACCAGCCACACUGGGACUGAGACACGGCCCAGACUCCUACGGGAGGCAGCAGUGGGGAAUUUUGGACAAUGGGCGAAAGCCUGAUCCAGCAAUGCCGCGUGUGUGAUGAAGGCCUUCGGGUUGUAAAGCACUUUUGGCGGGAACGAAAAGGACUGUGCCAAUACCACGGUUCGAUGACGGUACCCGCAGAAUAAGCACCGGCUAACUACGUG